UGGGGAUGCUCUAAGAUUUUUACC
This 24-nucleotide non-coding RNA is filed under the name Arabidopsis thaliana (thale cress). The record is from RNAcentral. Lineage: Eukaryota; Viridiplantae; Streptophyta; Magnoliopsida; Brassicales; Brassicaceae.